GACAGAGGGUGCAAACGUUGUUCGGAAUUACUGGGCGUAAAGCGUGUGUAGGCGGCCCUGCAAGUCGGAUGUGAAAGCCCCGGGCUCAACCCGGGAAGUGCACCCGAAACUAGCAGGCUCGGAGUACCGGAGAGGUUGGUGGAAUUCUCGGUGUAGAGGUGAAAUUCGUAGAUAUCGAGAGGAACACCGGUGGCGAAGGCGGCCAACUGGACGAGUACUGACGCUGAGACACGAAAGCGUGGGGAGCAAACAGG
RNAcentral lists this ribosomal RNA (254 nucleotides) under uncultured bacterium. RNAcentral's name for it is "partial 16S ribosomal RNA". It matches the Rfam family "Bacterial small subunit ribosomal RNA", at positions 524 to 776 of the family's 1533-position model. The record is from RNAcentral.